Molecule: ribosomal RNA, 253 nt
Filed under: uncultured bacterium
Lineage: Bacteria
Description: partial 16S ribosomal RNA
Rfam family: Bacterial small subunit ribosomal RNA
Source: RNAcentral
UACGGAGGGUGCAAGCGUUGUCCGGAUUUAUUGGGUUUAAAGGGUGCGUAGGCGGUCCGGUAAGUCAGUGGUGAAAUCCUCCAGCUCAACUGGAGAACUGCCUCGGAUACUGAUGGUCUCGAGGAGGAUAGGGGCACACGGAACUGUGGGUGGAGCGGUGAAAUGCGUUGAUAUCCAUAGGAACACCGGUGGCGAAAGCGGUGUGCUGGAUCCGUUCUGACGCUGAGGCGCGAAAGCCAGGGGAGCAAACGGG